Molecule: non-coding RNA, 26 nt
Filed under: Homo sapiens (human)
Lineage: Eukaryota; Metazoa; Chordata; Mammalia; Primates; Hominidae
Source: RNAcentral
UAACAUGCCUUGGUUCAAGGGAUGGA